This 459-nucleotide ribosomal RNA is filed under the name uncultured bacterium. Its description in RNAcentral is "partial 16S ribosomal RNA". It matches the Rfam family "Bacterial small subunit ribosomal RNA", at positions 338 to 795 of the family's 1533-position model. The record is from RNAcentral.
CCUACGGGAGGCUGCAGUGAGGAAUAUUGGUCAAUGGCCGGAAGGCUGAACCAGCCAAGCCGCGUGAAGGACGAAGGUGCCAAGCAUUGUAAACUUCUUUUGUCAAGGGACAAAAUCAGGCUCGAGAGCCUGACCGAGGGUACUUGAAGAAAAAGCAUCGGCUAACUCCGUGCCAGCAGCCGCGGUAAUACAGAGGAUGCGAGCGUUAUCCGGAUUUAUUGGGUUUAAAGGGUGCGUAGGCGGGCUGUUAAGUCAGCGGUAAAAGUCCGGGGCUCAACCCCGGCGAGCCGUUGAAACUGGCUGUCUUGAGAGGGCGAGAGGUAUGCGGAAUGCGCAGUGUAGCGGUGAAAUGCUUAGAUAUUGCGCAGAACUCCGAUUGCGAAGGCAGCAUACCGGCGGCGAUCUGACGCUGAGGCACGAAAGCGUGGGUAUCGAACAGGAUUAGAUACCCCUGUAGUC